This is an RNA transcript of Hipposideros armiger (great roundleaf bat), 1842 nucleotides long. It is a transcript of the gene named ARF like GTPase 2 binding protein, with no coding region annotated. The transcript is spliced from 7 exons. The record is from RefSeq and is a predicted model, not a curated record. NCBI's taxonomy places the organism in Eukaryota, Metazoa, Chordata, Mammalia, Chiroptera, Hipposideridae.
GCGGGGCGAGGCGCCAAGAGAUCUGUAACCGACCGCGACCCUGCCCCUGCAGCGGCUUGUGCAGAGGUCUGGCGGGGCGUAGCGGCCCGGCCAGUGCGUGGCUGCAGCCGGGAGCCUGAGGCCGGGCCCUCGAGCAUAGGUGCUGACCCGGCUGGGCCGUGAGUUGGCCGUCGCCUCGGUGGCAAGGCCUCCCCGAUGCCGGUUGGGGCUUUGCGGAACAGAACGGAGGCUGGGCCCGGGCCGCGGGCAGGGUAAGAGGCUGACGGGCCCGCUCGCUCGCACCGGGUGGAUGCGGCGGCGGCGAUGGACGCUCUAGAGGAAGAGAGCUUCGCGCUGCCUUUCUCUUCCGCCUCUGAUGCAGAAUUUGAUGCUGUGGUUGGAUAUUUAGAGGACAUUAUCAUGGAUGAUGAGUUCCAGUUAUUACAGAGAAAUUUCAUGGACAAGUACUACCAGGAGUUUGAAGACACAGAAGAAAAUAAACUCACCUACACGCCUAUUUUUAACGAGUAUAUUUCUCUGGUAGAAAAGUACAUUGAAGAACAGCUGCUGGAGCGGAUUCCUGGGUUUAACAUGGCGGCUUUCACAGCAACUUUACAGCACCAUAAAGAUGAAGUGGCUGGUGACAUAUUCGACAUGCUUCUCACGUUUACGGAUUUUCUGGCUUUUAAAGAAAUGUUUCUGGACUACAGAGCAGAAAAAGAAGGCCGGGGACUGGACUUAAGCAGUGGUUUAGUGGUGACUUCGUUGUGCAAAUCAUCCUCUGUGUCAGCUUCCCACAACAACCUGCAGCACUAGGCCCUCCUCCGGACAGUGAGCUUGUUCUGGACUGUGGCAGCCCAGGAUCCUGGGAGAGCCUUCAGCUAAUGAUGAAACACAUCUUGGAAAGACUGGCUCUGUUCUGCAAUCUUCAUUAACCUGCUGUCCUGCUUUAGCAGCGUUCAUCUUUCAAGCGAUAGGCCCUGGGCUUGCUUUCCCCUUACUCUUUUUAUCAGUGGGCUGCCCGCUUCAGGCUGGUGAUGUCGGAAGCACUUGGUGAAGACCUGAUGUCAGUCCGCCGCCUGGCUGAGCUGAGGCAGGUGGACAAGUCCAGAGACAACGUUAUGAAAAAAGGAGAAGAAAGGCAAGCGGUUCUUUUCAUCCUUUACCAUUCAGAGAAAGAAGCAAGCAAGCUUAUUGUAGUUUAAUAUUAGAAGAUGGUCUUUCUGAUUUCUUUUCAAACAAACUAGAAAUCUCUCUCCAUCCACACAGGAACUUAAGUCAUCAUGUGCCACGUGGGCCUCAGGCCUGGCCUGAGGUGGGAAAGCCCGACAUUCUGCCCCUGCCUCAGGACAGCUGCAGUCUCCUAUUGUCCAGCCCUCCUCACCCAGGGGAAGCAGUAUUCACCCCGACUGCGGGGGCUAAGGAUUGGGGAGGCAUGGGCACGAACCAAAGGUGGUGGUUUGACUAAACAAAAGAACGUCUCCACUCAAAUAGGCUGUGUAUUAAGGUGUCAGAAACCUAUAAGACUUGCCUAGCAUUUUGUUUUCUCUUACGCCUCAAAAGAAAAUGGGUUUACCCUUAAAACUAAAUUCUGUCAUGGCUUAAUCCUGGAAUAACUAAUUUAUUAUUCAAACCUGAGACACUUGAGAGUACAUAGGGAUGCUGUUCAUAUUUAUACCAGAAUAAUAGACAUAAACUGGGCCUGUCCCAGGCUAAGUUAAUCCCCCAUUCCUUGAUAAUGGAGUAGCUUAUUCGCAACUUUUUGAAUUAAGUUGCAUUUUAAUUGUUCCCAGUUUUUCAAAAAAGGACCAAGGUUGCCCAGAAAGCCUUUGGCUCAUUAUUCAGAGUAUGUUGCUCUGUGGU